GUGGGGAAUAUUGCACAAUGGGGGAAACCCUGAUGCAGCGACGCCGCGUGAGUGAAGAAGUAUUUCGGUAUGUAAAGCUCUAUCAGCAGGGAAGAAAUAGCGACCUUAGGGUCGCCAGACGGUACCUGACUAAGAAGCCCCGGCUAACUACGUGCCAGCAGCCGCGGUAAUACGUAGGGGGCAAGCGUUAUCCGGAUUUACUGGGUGUAAAGGGAGCGUAGACGGCAGCGCAAGUCUGAAGUGAAAUGCCAGGGCUUAACCCUGGAACUGCUUUGGAAACUGUGCAGCUAGAGUGCAGGAGAGGUAAGUGGAAUUCCUAGUGUAGCGGUGAAAUGCGUAGAUAUUAGGAGGAACACCAGUGGCGAAGGCGGCUUACUGGACUGUAACUGACGUUGAGGCUCGAAAGCGUGGGGAGCAAACAGGA
RNAcentral lists this ribosomal RNA (424 nucleotides) under uncultured bacterium. RNAcentral describes it as "bacterial SSU rRNA". It matches the Rfam family "Bacterial small subunit ribosomal RNA", at positions 354 to 777 of the family's 1533-position model. The record is from RNAcentral.